CCAGCCCCCUUUGCCAAAAGGCUUAGAUCAAGCGUAGUAUCUGUUCUUCCCAGUUUAAUCGCCGGAACCUGUCCAAAUAGACAAAAUCACACGAUUAAUCCAAUAUUUACAACGUCAUCCCGCGACGCGCCGGUGGCUUGCUCCCCGCGCCCCGGGAUAGGAUGUCUCUGGUAUUUCCACAGCAUCCCCAAGAUGCGAAAUCGGCGCCC
Molecule: non-coding RNA, 209 nt
Organism: Pseudogymnoascus pannorum
Lineage: Eukaryota; Fungi; Ascomycota; Leotiomycetes; Thelebolales; Thelebolaceae
Source: Rfam